Molecule: ribosomal RNA, 484 nt
Filed under: uncultured bacterium
Lineage: Bacteria
Description: partial 16S ribosomal RNA
Rfam family: Bacterial small subunit ribosomal RNA
Source: RNAcentral
AUUGAACGCUGGCGGCAGGCCUAACACAUGCAAGUCGAGCGGAUGAAGGGUGCUUGCUCCUGGAUUCAGCGGCGGACUGGUGAGUAAUUCCUAGGAAUCUGCCUGGUUGUUGGUGCUAGCGUCCGGAAACGGGCGCUAAUACCGCAUACGUCCUUAGGGCGAACGUGGGGGAUCUUCGGACCUCCCGCUAUCAGAUGAUCCUAUGUCGGAUUAGCUAGUUGGUGGGUUAACGGCCUACCAAGGCGACGAUCCGUCACUGGUCUGAGAGGAUGAUAAGACACACUGGAAAUGAGACACGGUCAAGACUCCUACGGGAGGAAGCAGUGGGGAAUAUUGGACAAGGGGCGAAAGCCUGAUCCAGCCAUACCGCGUGGGUGAAGAAGGUCUUCGGAUUGUAAAGCACUUUUGUUGGGAAAGAAGAGAAGAAGGUUAAUACCUGGCUGUUUUGACGGUACAAAAAGAAUAAGCACCGGCUAACUUCGUG